UACGUAGGGUGCAAGCGUUGUCCGGAAUUAUUGGGCGUAAAGAGCUCGUAGGCGGUCUGUCGCGUCGGAUGUGAAAAUCCAGGGCUCAACCCUGGACCUGCAUUCGAUACGGGCAGACUAGAGUUCGGUAGGGGAGACUGGAAUUCCUGGUGUAUCGGUGAAAUGCGCAGAUAUCAGGAGGAACACCGGUGGCGAAGGCGGGUCUCUGGGCCGAAACUGACGCUGAGGAGCGAAAGCGUGGGGAGCAAACAGG
Molecule: ribosomal RNA, 253 nt
Filed under: uncultured bacterium
Lineage: Bacteria
Description: partial 16S ribosomal RNA
Rfam family: Bacterial small subunit ribosomal RNA
Source: RNAcentral